Small nucleolar RNA from Carassius auratus (goldfish), 216 nucleotides. Ensembl annotates it as small nucleolar RNA U3. NCBI's taxonomy places the organism in Eukaryota, Metazoa, Chordata, Actinopteri, Cypriniformes, Cyprinidae. The record is from Ensembl.
AAGACUAUAUUUUCAGGGAUCAUUUCUAUAGUUUUUUUUACUUGGAAAUGUGUUUUCGAAAGUGUUUGUCUCCCAACCCACGAUGAUGAGCUGUAAUGCUCCUUUCUGAGAGUGAAUUGAGGAUGGAACUGUGACUUUGAUCACAAGUUCUGUCACCGAUGAGUGUUCGUAUUGCUCUUUGGCAAUAUUGAAGAAAGGAGUAUGAUCUGAGUGGUU